AUACGGAGGGGGCUAGCGUUGUUCGGAUUUACUGGGCGUAAAGCGCACGUAGGCGGUAUAUCAAGUUAGGCGUGAAAGCCCCGGGCUCAACCCGGGAACUGCGCUUAUUACUGAUAAACUAGAGUCCGGGAGAGGGUGGCGGAAUUCCCAGUGUAGAGGUGAAAUUCGUAGAUAUUGGGAAGAACACCAGUUGCGAAGGCGGCCACCUGGACCGGUACUGACGCUGAGGUGCGAAAGCGUGGGGAGCAAACAGGAUUAGAAACCCCAGUAGUCC
Molecule: ribosomal RNA, 274 nt
Filed under: uncultured bacterium
Lineage: Bacteria
Description: partial 16S ribosomal RNA
Rfam family: Bacterial small subunit ribosomal RNA
Source: RNAcentral